CCCUUAGAUGUUCUGGGCCGCACGCGCGCUACACUGUUCGACGCAGCGAGUCUUAACCUUGACCGAAAGGUUUGGGUAAUCUUCAGCAAAGUCGAACGUGAUGGGGAUCGAUCAUUGCAAUUAUUGAUCGUGAACGAGGAAUUCCUAGUAAGUGCAAGUCAUCAGCUUGCGCUGAUUACGUCCCUGCCCUUUGUACACACCGCCCGUCGCUACUACCGAUUGAAUGGUUUAGUGAGAUCUCUGGAUUGACGCUGGCUAGGGGGCGACCCUAGGCCAGACUGUUGAGAAACUGCUCAAACUUGAUCAUUUAGAGGAAGUAAAAGUCGUAACA
This 331-nucleotide ribosomal RNA is filed under the name uncultured eukaryote. RNAcentral describes it as "partial 18S ribosomal RNA". It matches the Rfam family "Eukaryotic small subunit ribosomal RNA", at positions 1470 to 1796 of the family's 1831-position model. The record is from RNAcentral.